AGAGUUUGAUCAUGGCUCAGAGCGAACGCUGGCGGCGUGCUUAACACAUGCAAGUCGAGUGCGCGUUUCCGUAGCAAUACGGAAAUGGCGCACGGCGCACGGGUGCGUAACACGUGGGUAACCUGCCCUUUGGUGGGGAAUAACCUCGCGAAAGCGAGGCUAAUUCCGCAUAAGAUCCGCAAGGAUGAAAGCCGUAAGGCGCCGAAGGAGGGGCCCGCGCACGAUUAGCUAGUUGGUGAGGUAAUGGCUCACCAAGGCUAUGAUCGUUAGCUGGUCUGAGAGGAUGGCCAGCCACACUGGAACUGAGACACGGUCCAGACUCCUACGGGAGGCAGCAGUGGGGAAUCUUGCACAAUGGGCGAAAGCCUGAUGCAGCGACGCCGCGUGGGGGAUGAAGCUUCUCGGAGUGUAAACCCCUUUCGACCGGGACGAAUACCUCGCAAGAGGGGUGACGGUACCGGUAUAAGAAGCCCCGGCUAACUACGUGCCAGCAGCCGCGGUAAGACGUAGGGGGCCAGCGUUGCUCGGAAUUACUGGGCGUAAAGGGUUCGUAGGCGGUGUGGCAAGUCGGGAGUGAAAUCCCUGGGCUCAACCCAGGGGCUGCUUCCGAAACUGCUGUGCUAGAGUGUGGGAGAGGCGCGUGGAAUUGCAGGUGUAGCGGUGAAAUGCAGAUAUCUGCAGGAACACCCGUGGCGAAAGCGGCGCGCUGGACCACUACUGACGCUGAGGAACGAAAGCUAGGGGAGAAACAGGAUUAGAUACCCUAGUAGUCC
RNAcentral lists this ribosomal RNA (773 nucleotides) under uncultured bacterium. Its description in RNAcentral is "bacterial SSU rRNA". It matches the Rfam family "Bacterial small subunit ribosomal RNA", at positions 8 to 796 of the family's 1533-position model. The record is from RNAcentral.